AUACGAAGGGGGCUAGCGUUGUUCGGAAUUACUGGGCGUAAAGCGCGCGUAGGCGGAUUGGUCAGUUAGGGGUGAAAUCCCAGGGCUUAACCCUGGAACUGCCUCUAAUACUGCCAGUCUUGAGUUCGGGAGAGGUGAGUGGAAUUCCUAGUGUAGAGGUGAAAUUCGUAGAUAUGAGGAAGAACACCAGUGGCGAAGGCGGCUCACUGGCCCGAUACUGACGCUGAGGCGCGAAAGCGUGGGGAGCAAACAGGAUUAGAAACCCUAGUAGUCC
RNAcentral lists this ribosomal RNA (274 nucleotides) under uncultured bacterium. RNAcentral's name for it is "partial 16S ribosomal RNA". It matches the Rfam family "Bacterial small subunit ribosomal RNA", at positions 523 to 796 of the family's 1533-position model. The record is from RNAcentral.